UAAGACGAACCGUGCGAACGUUGUUCGGAAUCACUGGGCUUAAAGGGCGCGUAGGCGGGCUGCCAGGUCGGGGGUGAAAGCGUUCGGCUCAACCGGACAAGGGCCCCCGAUACCGGCGGCCUCGAGGGAGGUAGGGGUCGGUGGAACUUCCGGUGGAGCGGUGAAAUGCGUAGAUAUCGGAAGGAACGCCGGUGGCGAAAGCGGCCGACUGGACCUCUUCUGACGCUGAGGCGCGAAAGCCAGGGGAGCGAACGGGAUUAGAUACCCCGGUAGUCCUGGCCCUAAACGAUGGGCACCAGAUUGUGGGCCGGACAUGGGCUCACAGUCGCGGCAAAAGUGUUAAGUGCCCCGCCUGGGGAGUAUGGUCGCAAGGCUG
This 376-nucleotide ribosomal RNA is filed under the name uncultured bacterium. RNAcentral describes it as "bacterial SSU rRNA". It matches the Rfam family "Bacterial small subunit ribosomal RNA", at positions 521 to 896 of the family's 1533-position model. The record is from RNAcentral.